Molecule: ribosomal RNA, 780 nt
Filed under: bacterium Lag1
Lineage: Bacteria
Description: bacterial SSU rRNA
Rfam family: Bacterial small subunit ribosomal RNA
Source: RNAcentral
GGUCGCGCGGGCGCUGAUCAGAAGCUCUGGCUUCUCUGAAGCGCUACGCGGCGGAACGGGUGAGUCAACACGUACGGCAAACCCGGCCCCCAAGUUUCGGGAACAAACUCCCGGAAAACGGUAGCUCAAUCACCGAAAUCGUUUGUUUUCUUCGCCGAAGGAAAACCGGAAAGAACGGAGCAAUCUGUCACUUCGGGGAACGGGCCCGCGGCGCAUUAGCUAGUUCGGUGGGGUAACGGCUUCACCAAGGCGAACGAAUGCGUAGCCGAACCUGAGAGGGUUGAUCGGCCACACUGGGACUGAAACACGGCCCAGAACUCCUACGGGAGGCAGCAGUAGGGAAUCUUCCGCAAUGGGCGAAAGCCUGACGGAGCAAUGCCGCGUGAGUGAUGAAGGUUUUCGGAUCGUAAAGCUCUGUUGCCAGGGAAGAACGCUUGGGAGAGUAACUGCUCUCAAGGUGACGGUACCUGAGAAGAAAGCCCCGGCUAACUACGUGCCAGCAGCCGCGGUAAUACGUAGGGGGCAAGCGUUGUCCGGAAUUAUUGGGCGUAAAGCGCGCGCAGGCGGUCAUUUAAGUCUGGUGUUUAAUCCCGGGGCUCAACCCCGGAUCGCACUGGAAACUGGGUGACUUGAGUGCAGAAGAGGAGAGUGGAAUUCCACGUGUAGCGGUGAAAUGCGUAGAUAUGUGGAGGAACACCAGUGGCGAAAGCGACUCUCUGGGCUGUAACUGACGCUGAGGCGCGAAAGCGUGGGAGCAAACAGGAUAGAUACCCUGGUAGU